UGCCCCCACGAGGAAUUGAACCUCGAUCCUGGGCUUCGGAGGGCCAGACUUUAUCCAUUAAGCUACAGGGGC
RNAcentral lists this transfer RNA (72 nucleotides) under Candidatus Hakubella thermalkaliphila. Its description in RNAcentral is "Candidatus Hakubanella thermoalkaliphilus tRNA-Arg". Lineage: Bacteria; Bacillati; Actinomycetota; Candidatus Hakubellales; Candidatus Hakubellaceae. The record is from RNAcentral.